GCUUAUGCGUUGUUGGGUAGGGGAGCGUUCUGUAAGCCUGCGAAGGUGGCCUGUGAGGGUUGCUGGAGGUAUCAGAAGUGCGAAUGCUGACAUAAGUAACGAUAAAGCGGGUGAAAAGCCCGCUCGCCGGAAGACCAAGGGUUCCUGUCCAACGUUAAUCGGGGCAGGGUGAGUCGACCCCUAAGGCGAGGCCGAAAGGCGUAGUCGAUGGGAAACGGGUUAAUAUUCCCGUACUUGGUGUUACUGCGAAGGGGGGACGGAGAAGGCUAUGUUGGCCGGGCGACGGUUGUCCCGGUUUAAGCGUGUAGGUGUGUGUUCCAGGUAAAUCCGGUUCACUUUAACACUGAGGCGUGACGACGAGGCACUACGGUGCUGAAGCAACAAAUGCCCUGCUUCCAGGAAAAGCCUCUAAGCAUCAGGUAACAUCAAAUCGUACCCCAAACCGACACAGGUGGUCAGGUAGAGAAUACCAAGGCGCUUGAGAGAACUCGGGUGAAGGAACUAGGCAAAAUGGUGCCGUAACUUCGGGAGAAGGCACGCUGACACGUAGGUGAAGUGAUUUACUCAUGGAGCUGAAGUCAGUCGAAGAUACCAGCUGGCUGCAACUGUUUAUUAAAAACACAGCACUGUGCAAACACGAAAGUGGACGUAUACGGUGUGACGCCUGCCCGGUGCCGGAAGGUUAAUUGAUGGGGUCAGCGCAAGCGAAGCUCCUGAUCGAAGCCCCGGUAAACGGCGGCCGUAACUAUAACGGUCCUAAGGUAGCGAAAUUCCUUGUCGGGUAAGUUCCGACCUGCACGAAUGGCGUAAUGAUGGCCAGGCUGUCUCCACCCGAGACUCAGUGAAAUUGAACUCGCUGUGAAGAUGCAGUGUACCCGCGGCAAGACGGAAAGACCCCGUGAACCUUUACUAUAGCUUGACACUGAACAUUGAGCCUUGAUGUGUAG
RNAcentral lists this ribosomal RNA (947 nucleotides) under Salmonella enterica. Its description in RNAcentral is "partial 23S ribosomal RNA". It matches the Rfam family "Bacterial large subunit ribosomal RNA", at positions 1213 to 2141 of the family's 2925-position model. RNAcentral also lists the same sequence under 1 other name. Lineage: Bacteria; Pseudomonadati; Pseudomonadota; Gammaproteobacteria; Enterobacterales; Enterobacteriaceae. The record is from RNAcentral.